RNAcentral lists this ribosomal RNA (429 nucleotides) under Chloroflexota bacterium. Its description in RNAcentral is "Chloroflexi bacterium partial 16S ribosomal RNA". It matches the Rfam family "Bacterial small subunit ribosomal RNA", at positions 355 to 776 of the family's 1533-position model. The record is from RNAcentral. Lineage: Bacteria; Bacillati; Chloroflexota.
UGGGGAAUAUUGCACAAUGGGCGCAAGCCUGAUGCAGCCAUGCCGCGUGUAUGAAGAAGGCCUUCGGGUUGUAAAGUACUUUCAGUCGGGAGGAAGGUGGUAAGGUUAAUAACCUUAUCAAUUGACGUUACCGACAGAAGAAGCACCGGCUAACUCCGUGCCAGCAGCCGCGGUAAUACGGAGGGUGCAAGCGUUAAUCGGAAUUACUGGGCGUAAAGCGCACGCAGGCGGUUUGUUAAGUCAGAUGUGAAAUCCCCGGGCUCAACCUGGGAGCUGCAUCUGAUACUGGCAAGCUUGAGUCUCGUAGAGGGGGGUAGAAUUCCAGGUGUAGCGGUGAAAUGCGUAGAGAUCUGGAGGAAUACCGGUGGCGAAGGCGGCCCCCUGGACGAAGACUGACGCUCAGGUGCGAAAGCGUGGGGAGCAAACAGG